Molecule: ribosomal RNA, 253 nt
Filed under: uncultured bacterium
Lineage: Bacteria
Description: partial 16S ribosomal RNA
Rfam family: Bacterial small subunit ribosomal RNA
Source: RNAcentral
UACGUAGGGUGCGAGCGUUAAUCGGAAUUACUGGGCGUAAAGCGUGCGCAGGCGGCUUCGCAAGUCAGGCGUGAAAUCCCCGGGCUUAACCUGGGAAUGGCGUCUGAAACUACGGAGCUGGAGUGUGGCAGAGGGAGGUAGAAUUCCACGUGUAGCGGUGAAAUGCGUAGAUAUGGGGAGGAACACCGGUGGCGAAGGCGGCCACCUGGACGGAUACUGACGCUGAGACGAGAAAGCGUGGGGAGCAAACAGG